AUACGGAGGGUGCAAGCGUUGUUCGGAAUUAUUGGGCGUAAAGCGCGUGUAGGCGGUCUGUUAAGUCUGGUGUGAAAGCCCUGGGCUCAACCCAGGAAGUGCAUUGGAUACUGGCAGACUUGAGUAUGGGAGAGGAAAGCGGAAUUCCGAGUGUAGGAGUGAAAUCCGUAGAUAUUCGGAGGAACACCAGUGGCGAAGGCGGCUUUCUGGACCAAUACUGACGCUGAGACGCGAAAGCGUGGGGAGCAAACAGGAUUAGAUACCCUAGUAGUCC
This 274-nucleotide ribosomal RNA is filed under the name uncultured bacterium. Its description in RNAcentral is "partial 16S ribosomal RNA". It matches the Rfam family "Bacterial small subunit ribosomal RNA", at positions 523 to 796 of the family's 1533-position model. The record is from RNAcentral.